GUAGGGAAUCUUCCACAAUGGGCGCAAGCCUGAUGGAGCAACACCGCGUGAGUGAAGAAGGGUUUCGGCUCGUAAAACUCUGUUGUUGAAGAAGAACGUGCGUGAGAGUAACUGUUCACGCAGUGACGGUAUUCAACCAGAAAGUCACGGCUAACUACGUGCCAGCAGCCGCGGUAAUACGUAGGUGGCAAGCGUUAUCCGGAUUUAUUGGGCGUAAAGCGAGCGCAGGCGGUUUUCUAAGUCUGAUGUGAAAGCCUUCGGCUUAACCGGAGAAGUGCAUCGGAAACUGGAUAACUUGAGUGCAAGAGAGGACAGUGGAACUCCAUGUGUAGCGGUGGAAUGCGUAGAUAUAUGGAAGAACACCAGUGGCGAAGGCGGCUGUCUAGCUUGCAACUGACGCUGAGGCUCGAAAGCAUGGGUAGCGAACAGGAUUAGAUACCCUAGUAGUCC
This 450-nucleotide ribosomal RNA is filed under the name uncultured bacterium. Its description in RNAcentral is "bacterial SSU rRNA". It matches the Rfam family "Bacterial small subunit ribosomal RNA", at positions 354 to 796 of the family's 1533-position model. The record is from RNAcentral.